Molecule: transfer RNA, 83 nt
Filed under: Heterosigma akashiwo
Lineage: Eukaryota; Raphidophyceae; Chattonellales; Chattonellaceae
Description: tRNA-Leu
Rfam family: tRNA
About the family: Transfer RNA (tRNA) molecules are approximately 80 nucleotides in length. Their secondary structure includes four short double-helical elements and three loops (D, anti-codon, and T loops).
Source: RNAcentral
AGCUCGUUUGGUGAAAGUGGUAGACACGACAGACUUAAAAUUUGUUCCUUUUUAGGGUAUCGGUUCAAGUCCGAUAGCGAGUA